Serinicoccus sp. is the source of this 109-nucleotide regulatory RNA element. It matches the Rfam family "TPP riboswitch aptamer (THI element)". From Rfam's summary of the family: Vitamin B(1) in its active form thiamin pyrophosphate (TPP) is an essential coenzyme that is synthesised by coupling of pyrimidine and thiazole moieties in bacteria. The previously detected thiamin-regulatory element, thi box was extended, resulting in a new, highly conserved RNA secondary structure, the THI element, which is widely distributed in eubacteria and also occurs in some archaea. NCBI's taxonomy places the organism in Bacteria, Bacillati, Actinomycetota, Actinomycetes, Micrococcales, Ornithinimicrobiaceae. The record is from Rfam.
GUUCGACCCCCGGGGAGCGCCGAGAUGGCGCUGAGAGUGCGGAAGGCCCGCAGACCCGUCCACCUGAUCCGGUUCGUACCGGCGUAGGGAGCAGGGCACCCGCCGUCGU